RNAcentral lists this unclassified non-coding RNA (334 nucleotides) under soil metagenome. RNAcentral's name for it is "partial contains 5.8S ribosomal RNA, internal transcribed spacer 2, and large subunit ribosomal RNA". The stretch from base 1 to 120 matches the Rfam family "5.8S ribosomal RNA", at positions 35 to 154 of the family's 154-position model. The record is from RNAcentral.
GAUGAAGAACGCAGCGAAAUGCGAUAAGUAAUGUGAAUUGCAGAAUUCAGUGAAUCAUCGAAUCUUUGAACGCACAUUGCGCCCGCCAGUAUUCCGGCGGGCAUGCCUGUUCGAGCGUCAUUUCAACCAUCAAGCCCCCGGCUUGUGUUGGGGACCUGCGGCUGCCGCAGGCCCUGAAAUGCAGUGGCGGGCUCGCUGUCACUCCGAGCGUAGUAGUUACAUCUCGCUCUGGGCGUGCUGCGGGUUCCGGCCGUUAAAAGCCUUAUUUACCCAAGGUUGACCUCGGAUCAGGUAGGAAGACCCGCUGAACUUAAGCAUAUCAAUAAGCGGAGGA